UUCGGUCAGCUGACGAGUGGCGAACGGGUGAGUAACACGUGGAGACCUGUCCUAGGGUACGGGAUAACAGUUAGAAAUGACUGCUAAUACCGUAUACGUCCUAAGGGAGAAAGAUUUAUUGCCCUUGGAGGGGUCCGCGUUGGAUUAGCUAGUAGGUGAGGUAACGGCUCACCUAGGCGACGAUCCAUAGCUGUUCUUAGAGGAAGAUCAGCCACACUGGGACUGAGACACGGCCCAGACUCCUACGGGAGGCAGCAGUGGGGAAUAUUGCGCAAUGGGGGCAACCCUGACGCAGCGAUGCCGCGUGAGUGAAGAAGGCCUUAGGGUUGUAAAGCUCUUUCAGUAGGGAAGAUUGUGACGGUACCUACAGAAGAAGCUCCGGCUAACUCCGUGCCAGCAGCCGCGGUAAUACGGAGGGGGCAAGCGUUGUUCGGAAUUAUUGGGCGUAAAGAGCAUGUAGGCGGUUUGACAAG
Molecule: ribosomal RNA, 473 nt
Filed under: uncultured Magnetococcus sp.
Lineage: Bacteria; Pseudomonadati; Pseudomonadota; Magnetococcia; Magnetococcales; Magnetococcaceae
Description: bacterial SSU rRNA
Rfam family: Bacterial small subunit ribosomal RNA
Source: RNAcentral